UCGCUUUGGGAGGAGCUCGCUUACUAUCAGCUUGUUGGUAGGGUAACGGCCUACCAAGGCUAUGACGGUUAGGGGGUGUGAGAGCAUGACCCCCAGCAUUGGCACUGAAACACUGGCCAAACACCUACGGGUGGCUGCAGUCGAGAAUCUUCCACAAUGGGGGAAACCCUGAUGGAGCGAUGCUGCGUGCGGGAUGAAGGCCUUCGGGUUGUAAACCGCUUUUGUAGGGGACGAAAUUUUUGACGGUACCCUUUCGAAUAAGAGGUUGCUAACUCUGUGCCAGCAGCAGCGGUAAUACAGAGACCUCAAGCGUUAUCCGGAUUUACUGGGCGUAAAGCGUCUGUAGGGGGUUUAUUAAGUUCCAAGUAAAAUUUCAAGGCUCAACUUUGAAUUCGCUUGGAAAACUAAUAAACUGGAGUCUAGCAGAGGUGCAUGGAACUUGUGGUGUAGGAGUGAAAUCCGUUGAUAUCACAAGGAACACCAAAGGCGAAGGCAUUGCACUGGGCUAGCACUGACCCUGAGAGACGAAAGCGUGGGGAGCAAAACGGAUUAGAUACCCGUGUAGUCCACGCCCUAAACGAUGAAUGCUAAAUGUUCGGGGAUUCGACCCCCUGGGUGUUACAGCUAACGCGUUAAGCAUUCCGCCUGGGAAGUACGGCCGCAAGGCUAAAACUCAAAGGAAUAGACGGGGAUCCGCACAAGCGGUGGAGCGUCUGGUUUAAUUCGACAGUAAGCGUGGUACCUCACCAGGGUUUGACAUCCCUUGACAGCCUUGGAAACAAGGUUUCCUUCGGGCAAGGUGACAGGUGCUGCAUGGUCGUCGUCAGUUCGUGCCGUGAGGUGUUCCGUUAAGUCGGGAAACGAACGAAACCCCUAUUGCAUGUUACAAUUUCUCAUGCAAGACUGCCCGGAUAUACUGGGAGGAAGGUGGGGAUGACGUCAGAUCUGCAUGGUCCUUAUACCCUGGGCGACACAGGCGCUACAAUGGCAGAGACAAAGGGUUGCAAAACCGCAAGGUGAAGCUAAUCCCAAAAACUUUGUCUAAGUUCGGAUUGAAGGCUGCAAUUCGCCUUCAUGAAGCUGGAAUCGCUAGUAAUCGUGAAUCAGCCACGUCACGGUGAAUAUGUUCCCGGAUCUUGUACUCACCGCCCGUCACACCAAGAGAGUUGGUAGCUCCCGAAGCGUCCCGUUUUAGCGGGGCAUCACGGAGAGAUCAGCGAU
Molecule: ribosomal RNA, 1221 nt
Filed under: uncultured organism
Description: bacterial SSU rRNA
Rfam family: Bacterial small subunit ribosomal RNA
Source: RNAcentral